CUGUCAUAAAGCCAGUUUACUGUCCUUCUUAGCAACUCUACCAAGCCAAACAGAUUUGAUUAGUGAAUGAUAACCAAAAACAAAUAAUUACUGUUACAAUAUACAAUAUUGUACUAUCUUUAAAGAAUAGUCAUGAGGAACAUGCAGUGUAAUUCAAAAGAGCCAGAGUGGAUGCUUAUGAGAGAGCACUGACAAAAGGGGGAGGAAAAUUAGUGUUGGAAGCAUUCUUCUUACUUGAGGCUGUUAAAAAAGAGGCAGCAGAGAGUGGGGCUGGGUCUGAUUGCUGCUCUGUGCAGGAAAAACUCAGUCUGUCUUCAUGGUGCAGCGAUAACCUGGACUCUUUUUUCCUUCCUAUUCCCGGUUACUUUGCACACAACAACAGCUCAUGUCUUUGAUAUGGGCAUGAUGAUCUUUCAGCCUUAUCGGACUGUCCUGUUUCUGGCUUUAUCUGUGGCUUUUUUACAAUUUGUGAAAUGCCAAGACGACAGUGGUUUGUGACAUAUGAGGAUGGGCAAAGGGCACAGUUUACUCUUAACUCUUCAACAUGCACCAUUAGAUUUGUUGUCUACCCACAUCAGUAUCCUCCUCUCACAUCUGCUGAAUCCAUUUCAACUCUAGCACUGCGCUCACAUGACUCUAAAGGAACACAUCUUGCAUCUUAACGCAGAGCAGAUGUGUGAGGAUAUUAUGAGAAAGGCACUGACUCUGAACAUGCAGGGGGAAAAAAAACCCCCACCCAGCCGAGAAAACACCUGAGUGCUAUUACCUCAGUCAUACCCGGGUUAGAUCAUUUCAAACAUGUGACGUAUAUUUUUCCCUAAAUGAUGUCACCAGACAAAACAAUCAUGAGGAGUGUUUUCUCAGGUUCUGUUGAUUUUUAAUGUUUAGCAGAUUUUGAUAUAUGCAUAUCUGUACAAUAUGUUUUACAUGUGCCUCUUGGAUUCAAAGCCUAUUGUCGGGGAUUUACAGACAGUGCGCCACCUUGUGCUAAAUGAUCAUUACAACAGAAAAAAAAAUAUUGUAGUAUAUUCCUUCAUAAUAGAGCAAAAAUAGAAAUUAUAAUAUUUCUCCAUUGUAAAGAGAGAUUUUAUUUUUCACGUCAGUCUGUGCACUCUUGGGCUAAGAAGUAUUAAUGUUUGCUGGUGU
This 1146-nucleotide long non-coding RNA is filed under the name Sinocyclocheilus grahami. Its description in RNAcentral is "lncRNA (ENSSGRG00000016167.1)". The record is from RNAcentral. Lineage: Eukaryota; Metazoa; Chordata; Actinopteri; Cypriniformes; Cyprinidae.